Molecule: ribosomal RNA, 497 nt
Filed under: uncultured bacterium
Lineage: Bacteria
Description: partial 16S ribosomal RNA
Rfam family: Bacterial small subunit ribosomal RNA
Source: RNAcentral
GAUGAACGCUGGCGGCGUGCCUAAUACAUGCAAGUCGAGCGAACGGACGAGAAGCUUGCUUCUCUGAUGUUAGCGGCGGACGGGUGAGUAACACGUGGAUAACCUACCUAUAAGACUGGGAUAACUUCGGGAAACCGGAGCUAAUACCGGAUAAUAUUUUGAACCGCAUGGUUCAAAAGUGAAAGACGGUCUUGCUGUCACUUAUAGAUGGAUCCGCGCUGCAUUAGCUAGUUGGUAAGGUAACGGCUUACCAAGGCAACGAUGCAUAGCCGACCUGAGAGGGUGAUCAGCCACCCUGGAACUGAGACACGGUCCAGACUCCUACGGGAGGCAGCAGUAGGGAAUCUUCCGCAAUGGGCGAAAGCCUGACGGAGCAACGCCGCGUGAGUGAUGAAGGUCUUCGGAUCGUAAAACUCUGUUAUUAGGGAAGAACAUAUGUGUAAGUAACUGUGCACAUCUUGACGGUACCUAAUCAGAAAGCCACGGCUAACUACGUG